CUAAAACAGGAUCUGAUCGUCAUUGAUAUGAAUUUUUAUUAUUUGAGUCUAGUGUAAAUUUUACAUUUAUUCAGUUCCUGUUUUCAGAAAGAUCACAAGCAUAAGUUCAACAGAAUUUAAUACUUUUCCAUUAUGACAGCUAGAAGAUUUUUUUUUAUUGAUAAUCCUGAUCGCGAACUACGUCUGAAAAUGUAUCGACAUUUGAAAUAAGAUGUAUUGAGUGUCGCAUUCUCUGUUGACAAUCGCCAGAUAGUUUCUGGUUCUCGAGACAAGACCAUCAAGUUGUGGAACACCUUGGCAGAAUGCAAGUACACGAUUCAAGACGAUGGACAUUCUGAUUGGG
This is a long non-coding RNA of Leptinotarsa decemlineata (Colorado potato beetle), 343 nucleotides long. The record is from RefSeq and is a predicted model, not a curated record. NCBI's taxonomy places the organism in Eukaryota, Metazoa, Arthropoda, Insecta, Coleoptera, Chrysomelidae.